Molecule: ribosomal RNA, 315 nt
Filed under: Bacillus cereus
Lineage: Bacteria; Bacillati; Bacillota; Bacilli; Caryophanales; Bacillaceae
Description: bacterial SSU rRNA
Rfam family: Bacterial small subunit ribosomal RNA
Source: RNAcentral
AAAGUGCCAUUGGGGCCUCAGGGAUGAACGCUGGCGGCGUGCCUAAUACAUGCAUGUGCGAGCGAAUGGAUUAAGAGCUUGCUCUUAUGAAGUUAGCGGCGGCGGCGGACGGGUGAGUAACACGUGGGUAACCUGCCCAUAAGACUGGGAUAACUCCGGGAAACCGGGGCUAAUACCGGAUAACAUUUUGAACCGCAUGGUUCGAAAUUGAAAGGCGGCUUCGGCUGUCACUUAUGGAUGGACCCGCGUCGCAUUAGCUAGUUGGUGAGGUAACGGCUCACCAAGGCAACGAUGCGUAGCCGACCUGAGAGGGUG